RNAcentral lists this ribosomal RNA (385 nucleotides) under uncultured archaeon. RNAcentral describes it as "bacterial SSU rRNA". It matches the Rfam family "Archaeal small subunit ribosomal RNA", at positions 88 to 474 of the family's 1478-position model. The record is from RNAcentral.
GCUCAGUAACACGUGGAUAACCUACCCUUAGGACCGGGAUAACCCUGGGAAACUGGGGAUAAUACCGGAUAUAUGGAGAUACCUGGAAUGGUUCUCCACUUAAAGCUCCGGCGCCUAAGGAUGGAUCUGCGGCAGAUUAGGUCGUUGGUGGGGUAAUGGCCCACCAAGCCUGUAAUCUGUACGGGUUGUGAGAGCAAGAGCCCGGAGAUGGAACCUGAGACAAGGUUCCAGGCCCUACGGGGCACAGCAGGCGCGUAACCUCCGCAAUGCGAGCAAUCGCGACGGGGGGACCCCAAGUGCCACUCUUAACGGGGUGGCUUUUCAUAAGUGUAAAAAGCUUUUGGAAUAAGAGCUGGGCAAGACCGGUGCCAGCAGCCGCGGUAAU